CCGACGUGAUUUAUGAGAUCAUUGCUAAAAUAUCUUGUAAGUGGCAAACGGGAGCUGACUUUACUGUACUCUUUGAGUACAGUUGUUUCGUGCAGUGAAAUCCCAUUCCACCAUGUCGGAAAUAAAUCUUGUCCCCUGGCUGAUAAAGUCAGGUGAGGACUUGAACAAAGUAUAUUCCAUAACUUCUCAUAGUCUCUUUGACUAUUACUGGGGAGUUAGACCAUACUCGGUACAGUC
RNAcentral lists this small nucleolar RNA (237 nucleotides) under Octopus vulgaris (common octopus). RNAcentral describes it as "Small nucleolar RNA SNORA73 family". It matches the Rfam family "Small nucleolar RNA SNORA73 family". Rfam says of the family: U17 (SNORA73A and SNORA73B) also known as E1 belongs to the H/ACA class of small nucleolar RNAs (snoRNAs). Vertebrate U17 is intron-encoded and ranges in length from 200-230 nucleotides, longer than most snoRNAs. Lineage: Eukaryota; Metazoa; Mollusca; Cephalopoda; Octopoda; Octopodidae. RNAcentral also lists the same sequence under 1 other name. The record is from Rfam by way of RNAcentral.